GACGAACGCUGGCGGCGUGCUUAACACAUGCAAGUCGAACGGAAAGGCCCUGCUUUUGUGGGGUGCUCGAGUGGCGAACGGGUGAGUAACACGUGAGUAACCUGCCCUUGACUUUGGGAUAACUUCAGGAAACUGGGGCUAAUACCUGAUAGGAGCUCCUGCUGCAUGGUGGGGGUUGGAAAGUUUCGGCGGUUGGGGAUGGACUCGCGGCUUAUCAGCUUGUUGGUGGGGUAGUGGCUUACCAAGGCUUUGACGGGUAGCCGGCCUGAGAGGGUGACCGGCCACAUUGGGACUGAGAUACGGCCCAGACUCCUACGGGAGGCAGCAGUGGGGAAUAUUGCACAAUGGGCGGAAGCCUGAUGCAGCAACGCCGCGUGCGGGAUGACGGCCUUCGGGUUGUAAACCGCUUUCGCCUGUGACGAAGCGUGAGUGACGGUAAUGGGUAAAGAAGCACCGGCUAACUACGU
RNAcentral lists this ribosomal RNA (467 nucleotides) under uncultured bacterium. RNAcentral's name for it is "partial 16S ribosomal RNA". It matches the Rfam family "Bacterial small subunit ribosomal RNA", at positions 28 to 506 of the family's 1533-position model. The record is from RNAcentral.